GUAGGUAUGGUGUUAGUGGUUAGCACAUGACAUUGCCAAUGUCAAGGGGUCAGUUCAAAUCUGAUUAUCUACUCA
Molecule: transfer RNA, 75 nt
Filed under: Crassvirales sp.
Lineage: Duplodnaviria; Heunggongvirae; Uroviricota; Caudoviricetes; Crassvirales
Description: tRNA-Gly
Rfam family: tRNA
About the family: Transfer RNA (tRNA) molecules are approximately 80 nucleotides in length. Their secondary structure includes four short double-helical elements and three loops (D, anti-codon, and T loops).
Source: RNAcentral